Molecule: ribosomal RNA, 254 nt
Filed under: uncultured bacterium
Lineage: Bacteria
Description: partial 16S ribosomal RNA
Rfam family: Bacterial small subunit ribosomal RNA
Source: RNAcentral
UACAGGGGGGGCAAGCGUUGUUCGGAAUUACUGGGCGUAAAGGGCUCGUAGGCGGCCAACUAAGUCAGACGUGAAAUCCCUCGGCUUAACCGGGGAACUGCGUCUGAUACUGGAUGGCUUGAGGUUGGGAGAGGGAUGCGGAAUUCCAGGUGUAGCGGUGAAAUGCGUAGAUAUCUGGAGGAACACCGGUGGCGAAGGCGGCAUCCUGGACCAAUUCUGACGCUGAGUGAGCGAAAGCCAGGGGAGCAAACGGG